This 393-nucleotide ribosomal RNA is filed under the name uncultured fungus. RNAcentral's name for it is "partial small subunit ribosomal RNA". It matches the Rfam family "Eukaryotic small subunit ribosomal RNA", at positions 30 to 432 of the family's 1831-position model. Lineage: Eukaryota; Fungi. The record is from RNAcentral.
GCUUGUCUCAAAGAUUAAGCCAUGCAUGUCUUAGUGUAAAUAACUCUUAUGAAACUGCGAAUGGCUCAUUAAAUCAGUUAUCGUUUAUUUGAUGGUCCCUUACUACAUGGAUACCCGUGGUAACCCAGAGCUAAUACAUGCAGGAGGGCCCGCCGCAGGGGGGGCCGUGUUUAUUAGGUAAAAACCAAUGCACUCGCGUGCACACUGGCGAUUCAUAGUAACUGGCGGAUCGUAGGGCCGCGCGCCGACGACGGACCAUUCAAAUUUCUGCCCUAUCAACUGUCGAUGGUAGGAUAGAGGCCUACCAUGGUUACAACGGGUAACGGAGAAUUAGGGUUCGGUUCCGGAGAGGGAGCCUGAGAAACGGCUGCCACAUCCAAGGAAGGCAGCAGG